AUCACCAGUGUUGCUGCCCUGAUGUAUUUCAGUAUCAAGGAAGCUCACCCUGCAGUGGGUACAGCUUUUGGUAUCUUUCAUUUCCUUCAUCUGAAGUGGUAGGCAGGUCUGUGCUAGGAACAGUGUUUGUAGGGUAAGACCUGACCUUAAGGGCUUCAUAGGCUACCUUUUCCUCCAAGUUCCUCAGCCCCAAGUGGGUGGAGCACACAGUCAUUGGCUGUGUGGUCUCCAUGGUCCCAAGAGAAUCUCCAGCUGCAUUAGAGACAUCACCCUCUUUCUGUCUCCAAGCAGAGAAUUCUGUUCUCACCUCAGCACAGCCUGUAUAUGACUUCAGCUGCCCCUGGACAGUGACCAUGGGUGGUAAGUGGCAGUCUCGGCUCACCAGAUACCCUUCCCUGGCAUCUCUGAGGACCUGGAGGCUGGAAUUCCUGCCUGCCAUGAAUCAUUCCUCUGCACAUUUCCACAG
Molecule: long non-coding RNA, 466 nt
Filed under: Fukomys damarensis (Damara mole-rat)
Lineage: Eukaryota; Metazoa; Chordata; Mammalia; Rodentia; Bathyergidae
Description: lncRNA (ENSFDAG00000022356.1)
Source: RNAcentral